GGAAAGAUGGCUUAGUGGUUAAGAGCACUGACUGCUCUUCCAGAGGACCUGGGUUCAAUUCCCAGUAUUCA
Molecule: transfer RNA, 71 nt
Filed under: Cricetulus griseus (Chinese hamster)
Lineage: Eukaryota; Metazoa; Chordata; Mammalia; Rodentia; Cricetidae
Rfam family: tRNA
About the family: Transfer RNA (tRNA) molecules are approximately 80 nucleotides in length. Their secondary structure includes four short double-helical elements and three loops (D, anti-codon, and T loops).
Source: Rfam by way of RNAcentral